RNAcentral lists this ribosomal RNA (170 nucleotides) under Shewanella sp. 6_MG-2023. RNAcentral describes it as "partial 16S ribosomal RNA". It matches the Rfam family "Bacterial small subunit ribosomal RNA", at positions 1 to 164 of the family's 1533-position model. Lineage: Bacteria; Pseudomonadati; Pseudomonadota; Gammaproteobacteria; Alteromonadales; Shewanellaceae. The record is from RNAcentral.
UAAUUGAAGAGUUUGAUCAUGGCUCAGAUUGAACGCUGGCGGCAGGCCUAACACAUGCAAGUCGAGCGGUAACAGGAAUUAGCUUGCUAAUUCGCUGACGAGCGGCGGACGGGUGAGUAAUGCCUAGGGAUCUGCCCAGUCGAGGGGGAUAACAGUUGGAAACGACUGCU